Molecule: transfer RNA, 75 nt
Filed under: Dujonia railenensis
Lineage: Eukaryota; Fungi; Ascomycota; Pichiomycetes; Serinales; Debaryomycetaceae
Description: [Candida] railenensis transfer RNA-Lys(CTT)
Rfam family: tRNA
About the family: Transfer RNA (tRNA) molecules are approximately 80 nucleotides in length. Their secondary structure includes four short double-helical elements and three loops (D, anti-codon, and T loops). Further hydrogen bonds mediate the characteristic L-shaped molecular structure. tRNAs have two regions of fundamental functional importance: the anti-codon, which is responsible for specific mRNA codon recognition, and the 3' end, to which the tRNAs corresponding amino acid is attached (by aminoacyl-tRNA synthetases). tRNAs cope with the degeneracy of the genetic code in two manners: having more than one tRNA (with a specific anti-codon) for a particular amino acid; and 'wobble' base-pairing, i.e. permitting non-standard base-pairing at the 3rd anti-codon position.
Source: RNAcentral
GCCUGGUUAGCUCAAUCGGUAGAGCGUUUGACUCUUAUCAUCAAAAGGUUGCGGGUUCGACCCCCGCAUCGGGCU